AUGGACCCUAGUUGGAAGAAAAGAAAGGGUGGCGCUGAAAGAGCCAGGGACCAGAAAAAAACAGCCCUUCAGGCAGAUGCUACGAAAUGCCUAAACAUAGCUGAUAUGUUUGCUGCUCGUGGACAUGGAGCCUCCACAUCUGCAGCAGCAGCAUCAACAGGUAGUGGAGGAGAAGAUGCUCGACAGCAGGUGGACGAGGCGGCCAUGACGGUUCCCAUGCUUAAGGAGUGCUGGGUGUUGCUGCUGAGAAGAGGCAGAUGGGGUAGCAUCAGCAUCUCUCCCACUUGUUGGAGUGUGUGUGUGUGUGUGUGUGUGUGUGUGUGUGUGUGUGUGUGUGUGUGUGUGUGUGUGUGUGUGUGUGUGUGUGUGUGUGUUCUGGUCCAUUUAAAAGCUCUCAUUGGUUUGCAUGCUGCAUGUAAGUUACCCAUUCCUUUUCGUUUUAAUGUUUGUUUUAUUGAUAUUCAUAUUCUUAAUAUACAGUAUAAUUGUGUAUUUAUUUACUUUAUUUUUUCUAUUUAUUUUGUACAGUUAAGUUAAGCAAUUUAUUUUAUUUUGUACAGUUAAGUAAUUAUUGACUCAUUGUAAAUAUAAGUGUUUAACUUCAAUUGUUAUGUGUGUCAUCACUUUUUAUUUUAUAUUCAAAAUUAAAUGGAUGAAAAUCCUAUUCUUUCCAAGUCCUGGCAUAAUUUCCCACACCUAACAUUUUAUUUUGUAUUGACAGUUGAUUAGCAACACAAAUUGGUAAUAAGAGAAAUCCUUGCUGUUACUUGUAGCUUGUAGUGAGAUAAACAUCUUGUGGCCUUUUUGUGUAUUGCAAUUUUAGGUCAGCCUUUGCAUCCAGUCAUUGGUACAGUCAUCCAGUCAUUUCUUGCUUUAAUAAUGCAUUGUAUCACACAAGUAAUGAUAUAUUAUUCAUAGUUUAGCCUACAGUAUUACAUUUAUUAUAAUUAUAUGAACUAAAAUGAAUUAAUUAAUAUUUAAUAUAAUUCCUUUACUUAAAUUUAAGUAACAAGGUUGAAAGAAAUGACAUGUCUAAAAAGUAAUGUGACCUACGGUCAAUAGAUCAUACUUUUGAUAAGCCUAACAGUAUUUUGGGAGAACUUUUCAUAAUGCUUCUCAUAGUGUUAAAAUGUUUGUCUCCUAGUGCACAUUGAUCGUUUAAGGCAGUGAUUCCCAACAAGGGGUAUAUGGUACAUAUACCACCUGAGGUGCGCAAGCAAACUGCAGGGGGUAUGUGGAUAAAUUAACGAAUGUGUGCAGCAUAGUCAUUGCAUGAGUGAAGGGGUACUCAUGGUGUGACAAAAAGGCUUAAGGGGUACGCAUGUCAAUAGCAGUUGGGGAAAAAACCCACGCUGUCACACAGCGCGCUUACAUUUUUCCCCGUCAAUACCUGGUGGUGGCCUGCUCUUGGUUAAAAAUGCCCAGCCUGAAAAAUUUCCCCAGUCCAGCCCUGGCUAAAUGUGCCAUAAAACACCAUAGAAACUGUAUUUCGCUACAAUACUUGAUUCAACCACUCUAUUUCAUCCUAAACAAACCACAAAGGGGGCUCAAUGUUCAAAAUACAGGAAAGAAAUAAAAGCUCACAGCAACAUAUUGAAAAAAAAGAAGAACUAUAGUUCAUUUUUUGGAACUGUGAACUAUUUGAAUUAUGAACGUUUAACUGAACUCGUUCAUUUUAAAAUUUGCUAACUGAACUUUGAACUAGUUCACGUAGGAAGUGAACUUUCCCAACACUGUAUGCAGAGAUAUCAAUAAAAAAUGAUUCCCUGUGUGUCCAGAAGGGAAGUUAGCAUAUCCUAGCCAAGCUCUUUUUAUGUGAGGGGAAUACACUUGUUAUUACUUCACACUGUUUUCCAAUUUAUUGAGAAUAGUCGCUUUUUUAAAACAAGAUCCAGUCACAACAAGACGACAACAAGAUUGUAGUUUUUCUACAAACACUGAUAAUUCUGCUAUUUCUUUCUGCGUGAUUGGCAAGAUUCAAUGAUUCAUCAGCUGGUCCUGGUUUGGUAGUCCACAUGGGGGGCAUCCUCUCAGCGGUGUAACACAGGUAGCGUAAUAAUAAUUGACCAAAAAUAGUGCUGUAUUAGGAAACAUCCGGUUGGAGGAAUGGUUAUACUACGGGACCAAAGUCCCGGUUAUACAACGCUCAUUCAGUGCGCUUAGACCCCUCCACACUUGGCUUAGGGACUGUAGCUACCAAUAACAUAAUAACGGGCAAUAACGUAAUAACUGCCAAUAACGUAAUAAUUAAAAUGUAAUAAAGCCAAUAACGUAAUAACUUGCCAAUAAUGUAUUAAAGUUCUUGAGCCGAUAACGUAAUAACUUUUUGCCAAUAAUGUAAUAACUUAUUACGUUAUUGGCCUUGUAUUAAAAAAUCCUUUGAAAAUGUUAUAACAGAGCCAAUGAUGUGAUAACUGAGGUAUCACUUUAUUUUAUUUUCAAUAUCUGGAAAGAAACUGUCACAUUUGUAUGAGCCUUAAUAUUAAUAUUAACAGCGUUAAUAUUGCAUCGUGCAACACAUGCUUGAAUAUCUGACCCUACAGAUACCCCUCCACCCUCCUACCCCCCUCCACAGGAGGUCUUAAAGGAGCCAAGAGUCAAUUUGGAUUCAUAUGUAACUCUUAGGGUUCCAUUAUAGUGCUCCUUGUAUCCAACUCCGUGACCACGCAGACGCUUCAACGGAGUCGUGAGCCUUUCGAAGAUCUGCGUUGCAGUUGUCAGUAUGGUAUUGCAACUGUUACGUAUUUUAAGAACAUAUGCUGCCCCCACAUAGCCUCUAGGAAGCAGAUUCAAACACACAAGCUGUAUUACCCUCACAUAACCACUAGGAAGAAGGACCGAACAUAUAAGCCGUAAAUACUGUACAUAGCCACAAGGGGAGCAGGACCUUACCUUGAAGACCUUUAGAUAGGUGAAGAAGCCGAGGCUAAUACGUCACAUAGGACACGCCCACUUCACAUAGGCCACGCCCACUUGACCCGAUCAAUCUAGACAGAGAGGUUGGAGGUCAGAAAACUUCAGGUAGCUCAGGACUCGCGGGUUAGAGUUUUGAUCAGCUGGGAGUCGCUCAGCACGUGUUCCACACACUUCCCCUCCUUUUGCUCCGUAGUUACCAUACCGAAAUACUUUAACAAAUAAAGUGAGUUAAAAGCGAUCCGGAUUGGACUACUUUCUUUGAAGAAUGCUGCACAACUCACCGCUGGAACGCUAGGGGCUACGGGAAUGAGACGAUACUGACCAAUGACAGCCCCGCGGUCUCCAUCGUUC
This is a long non-coding RNA of Gadus morhua (Atlantic cod), 3267 nucleotides long. The record is from Ensembl. NCBI's taxonomy places the organism in Eukaryota, Metazoa, Chordata, Actinopteri, Gadiformes, Gadidae.